Marasmius sp. AFHP31 is the source of this 83-nucleotide non-coding RNA. NCBI's taxonomy places the organism in Eukaryota, Fungi, Basidiomycota, Agaricomycetes, Agaricales, Marasmiaceae. The record is from the annotation of a GenBank genome assembly.
GGGCACUUGGCACAGUUGGUAGCGCGCACGCUUCGCAUCGUUUCGAGUGCGUGAGGUCGUGGGUUCAAUUCCCACAGUGUCCA